This 76-nucleotide transfer RNA is filed under the name bacterium. RNAcentral describes it as "tRNA-Lys". It matches the Rfam family "tRNA". From Rfam's summary of the family: Transfer RNA (tRNA) molecules are approximately 80 nucleotides in length. Their secondary structure includes four short double-helical elements and three loops (D, anti-codon, and T loops). Further hydrogen bonds mediate the characteristic L-shaped molecular structure. tRNAs have two regions of fundamental functional importance: the anti-codon, which is responsible for specific mRNA codon recognition, and the 3' end, to which the tRNAs corresponding amino acid is attached (by aminoacyl-tRNA synthetases). tRNAs cope with the degeneracy of the genetic code in two manners: having more than one tRNA (with a specific anti-codon) for a particular amino acid; and 'wobble' base-pairing, i.e. permitting non-standard base-pairing at the 3rd anti-codon position. The record is from RNAcentral.
GGGCCGGUAGCUCAGUUGGUAGAGCACCUGACUUUUAAUCAGGUUGUCGGGGGUUCGACCCCCCCCCGGCUCACCA